RNAcentral lists this ribosomal RNA (496 nucleotides) under uncultured bacterium. RNAcentral's name for it is "partial 16S ribosomal RNA". It matches the Rfam family "Bacterial small subunit ribosomal RNA", at positions 29 to 507 of the family's 1533-position model. The record is from RNAcentral.
AUGAACGCUGGCGGCGUGCCUAAUACAUGCAGGUCGAGCGAACGGACGAGAAGCUUGCUUCUCUGAUGUUAGCGGCGGACGGGUGAGUAACACGUGGAUAACCUACCUAUAAGACUGGGAUAACUUCGGGAAACCGGAGCUAAUACCGGAUGAUAUUUUGAACCGCAUGGUUCAAAAGUGAAAGACGGUCUUGCUGUCACUUAUAGAUGGAUCCGCGCUGCAUUAGCUAGUUGGUAAGGUAACGGCUUACCAAGGCAACGAUGCAUAGCCGACCUGAGAGGGUGAUCGGCCACACUGGAACUGAGACACGGUCCAGACUCCUACGGGAGGCAGCAGUAGGGAAUCUUGCGCAAUGGGCGAAAGCCUGACGGAGCAACGCCGCGUGAGUGAUGAAGGUCUUCGGAUCGUAAAACUCUGUUAUUAGGGAAGAACAUAUGUGUAAGUAACUGUGCACAUCUUGACGGUACCUAAUCAGAAAGCCACGGCUAACUACGUG